GCCUAAUGGGGUCUGACCUCACCCUGUUUGGAGGUGGCCUUGUAAGAGCAAGAGCAAGGUCCACCAGAGAACAUCUGUUAACCUCUUCCCCAGCUCUUAGAGAAAAGAGCUGGAACCACAAAUUUACAGACACUGCUGAGGCCUGGGACCACCCAGUGGGGAGAUCUCUGGUGGAGGGAGCAGAGGAAGGAAAGAGGAAGGAUAUCAAAGAGUUGCAGAGUCAGAGGAGAAGGGAUGGCCCCGAGAGCACUGACAAUGUGUGUGGUAUGGUCUCUGCCCAGGCCAGCAGCAAGGGAAUGGAGGAGGACUUCCCUCUCUGCACAAGAAGUGAAUCUGGAGAAGAGACACCUGGCGUAUUUAGAGAGCCAAUGGCUCCUUCAUCUCCAAAGGAAUCUUGGGAACUUGCUGCCAUACAGGAUGGUGAUCAGUUGGACUGCUGGAAUGCACAGGUUGAUUCCCUAAGAUUAUCUUUGGGCUUUGGGGACAUUUGCAUCACAUGUUAAAAACUGGUGAAAAUUCAUUUAAUUUUUUAAUUUUUAAUUUUUUUCUUUUGUCCUUUUAGUGCUGCACCUGUGGCAUAUUCCCAGGCUAGGGGUCUAAUGGGAGCUGUAGCUGCUGGCCUAUGCCAGAGCCACAGCAACGCCAGACCCGAGCUGUGUCUGUGACCUACACCACAGCUCAUGGCGAUCCUUAACCCACUGAGCCAGGCCAAGGAUCAAAGCCGCAACCUCAUGGGUCCUAGUUGGAUUCCUUUCCGCUGCACCAUGACAGGAACUCCUGAAAAUUUAUUUUUAUUUUAAAAUUUCUUACAAGUAUUUCAUCUGUCAUGAGAGAAAAUAAAAAAUUCCAAAGGGAAAAAUGCACACAUUGCUGUGCUCCAUGUCCGAAAAAGCAAAGUGAAUACUUAUCUGCUGCCAAUAUGCUUAAUUAGGGUAGACAAGGGAGGAAACAUUUAAAAUUAUGGUUUUGAAAAAAGCCACUGAAGUAAAUAGGCAUGACAUUGAGUGGUCAGACAUCUAUUCCCAAAUUUUUUUUUUUUUUUUUUUUUUUGUCUUUUUAGGGCCAUACCCGCAGCAUAUGGAGGUUCCCAGGCUAGGGGUUGAAUCAGAGCUACAGCUGAUAGCCUAUGCCACAGCCACAGCAACACGGGAUCUGAGCUGUGUCUGCGACCUGUACCACAGCUCACAGCAAUCCUUGAUCCUUAACCCACUGAAUGAGGCCAGGGAUUGAACCUGCUCAUGCAUACUAGUUGGAUUUGUUUCCUCUAAGCCACAAGGGGAACUCCCUGAUUUUUUUUAAUGCAUCUUUUUACUAUGUUUGUUUUAUAAAAAGAGGAACUCAAAGAGACAAAGUGGGCAUUAAGUAUUUUUAUAAAAUAUUCUGUAGAUUUAACAAUGCAGCUCUUUAAAAUUUUUCACUCCUGUAAAACAGAGAGCAAGAUUUUAUUAUUAAUAGCGGAC
RNAcentral lists this long non-coding RNA (1460 nucleotides) under Sus scrofa (pig). RNAcentral's name for it is "lncRNA (ENSSSCG00040067300.1)". Lineage: Eukaryota; Metazoa; Chordata; Mammalia; Artiodactyla; Suidae. The record is from RNAcentral.